Molecule: non-coding RNA, 845 nt
Filed under: Homo sapiens (human)
Lineage: Eukaryota; Metazoa; Chordata; Mammalia; Primates; Hominidae
Source: RNAcentral
GAUAUGAAAGAUGGCAAGUCCAGAUAGAAGUAAACGGAAGAUAUUAAAAGCCAAAAAGACAAUGCCCCUAAGUUGCCGGAAGCAAGUAGAGAUGCUGAAUAAGUCAAGGAAUGUUGAAGCGCUGAAAACAGCAAUUGGGAGUAAUGUUCCAAGCGGUAAUCAGAGUUUCAGUCCUAGUGUCAUAACUAGGACGACUGAAAUAACCAAAUGUAGCCCUUCUGAAAAUGGUGCAUCCUCAUUGGACUCUAAUAAAAAUUCAAUAUCAGAGAAAAGUAAAGUAUUCUCUCAGAAUUGCAUAAAACCAGUAGAAGAAAUUGUUCAUUCAGAAACAAAAUUGGAACAAGUUGUUUGUUCGUACCAAAAGCCAAGUAGAACAACAGAAUCCCCCAGCAGAGUCUUCACAGAAGAGGCAAAAGAUUCACUGAACACUUCUGAAAACGAUUCUGAGCAUCAGACAAAUGUAACAAGAUCCCUUUUUGAGCAUGAGGGGGCUUGUAGUCUAAAGUCCAGUUGCUGUCCACCCAGUGUAUUGAGUGGUGUUGUUCAGAUGCCAGAGUCUACAGUAACCAGUACCGUGGGUGACAAGAAAACUGACCAGAUGGUUUUCCAUUUAGAAACAAACUCCAAUUCAGAAUCACAUGAUAAAAGGCAAAGUGACAACAUUUUAUGUUCAGAAGACUCAGGUUUUGUGCCUGUUGAGAAAACACCUAAUUUGGUGAAUUCAGUCACUUCUAACAACUGUGCUGAUGACAUUUUGAAAACUGAUGAGUGUAGUAGAACCAGUAUUUCAAAUUGUGAAAGUGCAGACUCAACAUGGCAGUCAUCACUUGACACUAAUAACAACA